CCUAUCAGCCGGCUAUCGCUUCCCGUUUUUCGGGAGGAGGAAAGUCCGGACAGCAUAGGGCAGCGCACCGGCUAACGGCCGGCUUCCAUUUCGGUGGAAAGAGAGAAUGCCACAGAAAAUAACCGUCCGGCCCCGGCUGGGUAAGGGUGAAAAUGUGAGGUAAGGGCUCACGGCGGUUUGCAGUAAUGCAGGCCGCGGGUAAACCUUGCGUGCUGAAAUGCCACGUAAAUCAGUGUUUGAAGGCGGCCCGCCUGAAUGCCUUCACAGGCAUGCGCUGAAGGGUAGGCAGCUAGAUUGUUUCAGCAAUGAAACAGCCAGAUAAAUGAUAGCCAGUCUGACCUUAAGGUCAGUCUACAGAAUCCGGCUUAUGGCUGAUAGUUUUU
This 383-nucleotide RNase P RNA is filed under the name Chitinophagaceae bacterium. RNAcentral describes it as "RNase P RNA component class A". It matches the Rfam family "Bacterial RNase P class A". From Rfam's summary of the family: Ribonuclease P (RNase P) is a ubiquitous endoribonuclease, found in archaea, bacteria and eukarya as well as chloroplasts and mitochondria. The record is from RNAcentral. Lineage: Bacteria; Pseudomonadati; Bacteroidota; Chitinophagia; Chitinophagales; Chitinophagaceae.